This 25-nucleotide microRNA is filed under the name Homo sapiens (human). RNAcentral describes it as "hsa-miR-12122". The record is from miRBase by way of RNAcentral. Lineage: Eukaryota; Metazoa; Chordata; Mammalia; Primates; Hominidae.
UGUCACAGAUGGCCGGAAGAGACUC